Long non-coding RNA from Chinchilla lanigera (long-tailed chinchilla), 618 nucleotides. RefSeq lists it as uncharacterized. Lineage: Eukaryota; Metazoa; Chordata; Mammalia; Rodentia; Chinchillidae. The transcript is spliced from 4 exons. The record is from RefSeq and is a predicted model, not a curated record.
CACUUUCUGCCAUCGGUUGAAACCAGCUGAGACCCUCAGCAGAAGUUAAGCAGAUGCAAGAACCAUGAUUUUGGAUUUUGUAGUCUCCAACCCUGAGGCAAAGGAAAAUUCUAUUCUUUAUAAGUCACUCAGCUACAGGUGUCUGUUUACCACAACAAAAAUGGACUGAGACAGUCAUAUAUAAAAAGAAUGAGUGAUAAAGUUGGAAAGAUCAGAAAUCAAGAACAUUACACAAGGGGGCAAAACUUCUGGAAAAAGAUCAGUGCCAUUUUAAGGGCAACAGUCAAUAUCACUCUUAUUUGGAUCAUCCCAAAUUGCAAUGAAGGGUAUUACAUGUUGCAAUGCUAUAUUCAGAAGUUCAGUGAGAAGAAAUCGAAGCCUUCCCUAUGAGGAAGUUUUUGCAGUGUGCUGCCCAGUUCCCUUUCUCCAGUCCACAGUUGAUGGGAAAAGAAGCAAAAAAAGACAUGGGUGUUGAAAGCCAUGACAAAAACGUCACAGUAGCCAGCCUCAACCUGAAGUAGAGCAUAUCUAAGCAAACUGCAAAAAUGGGGCCCAGAUUCCGGGCUGAACUAUGCCAGAAGUCCACCAUUUCUAUGAAGUUUUGUUCCCAUAUCAAUA